RNAcentral lists this ribosomal RNA (213 nucleotides) under Aplanochytrium stocchinoi. RNAcentral's name for it is "partial Bacterial large subunit ribosomal RNA". It matches the Rfam family "Bacterial large subunit ribosomal RNA", at positions 2147 to 2359 of the family's 2925-position model. The record is from RNAcentral. Lineage: Eukaryota; Bigyra; Thraustochytrida; Thraustochytriidae.
GUGGGAGACUGUGAAGCCGGCACGCCAGUGUCGGUGGAGUCAACGUUGAAAUACCACUCUGGUCGUACUAGAUGUCUAACCUAGGUCCAUUAUCUGGAUCAGGGACAGUGCCUGAUGGGUAGUUUAACUGGGGCGGUUGCCUCCUAAAAUGUAACGGAGGCGCUCAAAGGUUCCCUCAGCCUGGUUGGCAAUCAGGUGGCGAGUGUAAGUGCA